Molecule: transfer RNA, 81 nt
Filed under: Plectosphaerella plurivora
Lineage: Eukaryota; Fungi; Ascomycota; Sordariomycetes; Glomerellales; Plectosphaerellaceae
Description: tRNA-Val
Source: RNAcentral
GACUGCGUGGCGCAGUGGAAGCGCGUUGUGCUCACAUUAUGAGAGCCACAAAGGCCCGUGGAUCGAAACCGCGCGUGGUCA